UCCAGACUCCUACGGGAGGCAGCAGUGGGGAAUAUUGCACAAUGGGGGAAACCCUGAUGCAGCGACGCCGCGUGAGUGAAGAAGUAUUUCGGUAUGUAAAGCUCUAUCAGCAGGGAAGAUAAUGACGGUACCUGACUAAGAAGCCCCGGCUAACUACGUGCCAGCAGCCGCGGUAAUACGUAGGGGGCAAGCGUUAUCCGGAUUUACUGGGUGUAAAGGGUGCGCAGGUGGCAGGGCAAGUCAGAUGUGAAAGCCCGGGGCUCAACCCCGGUAUUGCAUUUGAAACUGUCCGGCUAGAGUGCAGGAGAGGUAAGCGGAAUUCCUAGUGUAGCGGUGAAAUGCGUAGAUAUUAGGAGGAACACCAGUGGCGAAGGCGGCUUACUGGACUGUAACUGACACUGAGGCACGAAAGCGUGGGGAGCAAACAGGAUUAGAUACCCUGGUA
This 445-nucleotide ribosomal RNA is filed under the name uncultured bacterium. RNAcentral's name for it is "bacterial SSU rRNA". It matches the Rfam family "Bacterial small subunit ribosomal RNA", at positions 330 to 792 of the family's 1533-position model. The record is from RNAcentral.